UGUGAAUGAUGACACGUCUUUGCCUGACUUCACUGAGGGUACAAAAUGAUUUAAUGAGCCUGACGC
Molecule: small nucleolar RNA, 66 nt
Organism: Anarrhichthys ocellatus (wolf-eel)
Lineage: Eukaryota; Metazoa; Chordata; Actinopteri; Perciformes; Anarhichadidae
Source: RefSeq, a predicted model, not a curated record